This 591-nucleotide long non-coding RNA is filed under the name Neogale vison (American mink). RNAcentral's name for it is "Neovison vison (American mink) lncRNA (ENSNVIG00000007801.1)". Lineage: Eukaryota; Metazoa; Chordata; Mammalia; Carnivora; Mustelidae. The record is from RNAcentral.
GCUCUGGGCGGAUUCCUGAGGGGAGGGGCAGGGGGCUGGGACGGAAAAGUUAAGAAAAACUUUUACGGUGAAUUCGCUCGAGGGGUGGGGGUGGGGGGUGAACGCACCAGAAAGGGAAUUUGCUUUAAAGGUUUGCACCUCUUCCGGGUACACUAAAACACACAUCUCGAGCGGCAGGGCGCAGCCAGAGGGGAUUUUGCUGGAAGAACAGCGCAGCGCCGGAGCGGAGAGACGUGACCCGGAGUCACGUUAGCCCUGCCUGGGCUGACAAUGCCGGGGAGAACCCCAAAGCCCAAGAUGGCGGAUGGAAUUGUCCACGAGUUCACAGAAAGAACUGGAACAAGAAACCCCAGUUUGGGUUCCUGGAGCUGCGCUUUUUCCAAGAGCUUUGCACACAAUGGCCUGACUUUAUCUAUUUAUUUAUCUCUGCUUCCUGCUCACCUCACUCCGCAAAUAGCUUGUGUGAGCUACGGAAUGAAAAAUGAGUGACUGACCUAGCAUGGCCUCCUGUCGACUAGUGCCCUGGAGAUCUCCGGGAAGCAGCACCCAGGGCGGAUGAUGGCCUGACUCAGAUUCCAGGGGAGCAUCGAA